RNAcentral lists this long non-coding RNA (361 nucleotides) under Mus pahari (shrew mouse). RNAcentral describes it as "predicted gene, 37986 (MGP_PahariEiJ_G0006125.1)". The record is from RNAcentral. Lineage: Eukaryota; Metazoa; Chordata; Mammalia; Rodentia; Muridae.
CAAGGUUACUCCUCCCACCCAAGGCUUCCAUAGCAGGGAUAAGCACUGACCUUUGAGCAAACAGCCCCGUGGAAACUGCGCAGUCACCAGUGACUCACACUCCACCUAUGUUUUCAGAAGCAGAGGCCGGGGUUGUGGCUCAGGGACCGUGCGUUUCCCUAGAGUGUCUGAGAGCCUAGGUCCCACCCUCUGCUCUGCCAUCUACAAGGUGUUCUGUCCGACAAACUGGAAAGCUGGACUGUGUGGGCAGUCAUCCUGACUACCUGAUUCUGGCUUCCCUUUUAUGGGUUUUGUUUGUAUCUUAAAUAUUGAGGAGGCUUUUAAAAUCCAGAGUACUGAGUGCAGACUUGGCUACAACUAA